This 216-nucleotide unclassified non-coding RNA is filed under the name soil metagenome. RNAcentral's name for it is "partial contains 5.8S ribosomal RNA, internal transcribed spacer 2, and large subunit ribosomal RNA". The record is from RNAcentral.
AACUGAUACUACCUGCGGGAACCUGCGGAAGGAUCAUUAUCGAGUUUACAACUCCCAAACCAUUGUGAAUCUUACCUUUUCGUUGCUUCGGCGGGAUCGCCCCGGGCGCUUCGGUGCCCCGGAUUCAGGCGCCCGCCGGGGGACCUAAACUCUUGUAUUAUAGUGGAUUUCUGAGUGGAUUACACAAAUAAUCAAAACUUUCAACAAUGGAUCUCU